UCAACAGAUACGCAUGAAGAUAGAACUACUCUACUCCUACUCAGGAUACUAAGUGUGCAAACAACGAGUAGAGUAUAACGAAUAAACAAGGGUGUAAGGCUCAAUAUAUUAUGCGAUAGUAACAACAGAAGAGUAAGGGUAAGAAACCAUCACCAAGCGUGCACCACUGUACCGACGUCGGGUCGAAGUACUCACCUGUACGGAUGUCGCGUCUGUCUCCUGACUGCAAAAGAAUGUCGACAGGACCUAUAGAGGGUCCACCAGGUUAGUAUCUAACCCACAACUAAUAAUCACAGUAUCCACAACCCCACAAACGAUUCCACGAAGAUCGGUUUCCCAAUACCGAUUACCGUAACUCACCGAAAGUCUCGAAAACCACAUCGGGACGUCGUCGGGACCCACUAAGUGUCCCGAACUCACCGACUCGUGCCACGAGUCACCCGCUGCCCCAAAGCACUCCAAUUUGGAUGCCUUGGCAGCGAACACGAGGUAACACAACCAUAUGAUCAUCGCCGGAUAAUCGUACGAAUCCGGGUUCCCGGAAGUAUCUAUUUCGACACCGGAACCCACCGUCGCUCACCCAUCAUCAUCGAACCCACAAAAUGAUGAUGGUGACCAGCCAACAAGGCUCAGUGACAAAACACAAAGCAACCAAACACCGUCGGAAAGAAUCCGAACCGAAAUCGCGUUCUUUCGGCGAAUUUCGCCGAAAAACGCACCGAAAUCGACCUACCGAUUUCCGCGAAAGCUAACAGACCAUGGACAAUCAGUCCAGCGGUC
This 780-nucleotide long non-coding RNA is filed under the name Ananas comosus (pineapple). RNAcentral describes it as "long non-coding RNA (ACOM_LNC039529)". Lineage: Eukaryota; Viridiplantae; Streptophyta; Magnoliopsida; Poales; Bromeliaceae. The record is from RNAcentral.